This 418-nucleotide ribosomal RNA is filed under the name Cyclocaris sp. CCZ 004. RNAcentral describes it as "partial large subunit ribosomal RNA". It matches the Rfam family "Bacterial large subunit ribosomal RNA", at positions 1953 to 2606 of the family's 2925-position model. Lineage: Eukaryota; Metazoa; Arthropoda; Malacostraca; Amphipoda; Lysianassidae. The record is from RNAcentral.
AAGGUAGCAUAAUCAUUUGUUCUUUAAUUGGGGGCUGGCAUGAAAGGUUUAACUGAAGAUAGAUAUCUUUUUUAUAAAGGAGUAAUUUGUAUUUUGAGUUAAAAUACUUAAUUAAACUUAAGGGACGAUAAGACCCUAAAAGCUUUAUUUUAAGUGAGUGUGUUUUGCUAAUUUUUUAAGUAAUUUAGCUGGGGUAGCUGUUUUAAUUAAACUAAGGUGGUUAAGAGGCUCUUUGAGAGGUUAAGGGUCCUUUAUAUAAGGAUAUGUAGAGUCAGUUACUUUAGGGAUAACAGCGUGAUAGUUUUGGUGAGAUCUUAUCUAUAGGGCUGAUUGCGACCUCGAUGUUGAAUUAUAAGUUCUUUGCAGUGCAGCAGCUGUGAGAGAAGGUUUGUUCAACCUUUAAAUUUUUACGUGAUCU